This 460-nucleotide ribosomal RNA is filed under the name uncultured bacterium. Its description in RNAcentral is "partial 16S ribosomal RNA". It matches the Rfam family "Bacterial small subunit ribosomal RNA", at positions 338 to 795 of the family's 1533-position model. The record is from RNAcentral.
CCUACGGGAGGCAGCAGUGAGGAAUAUUGGUCAAUGGACGAGAGUCUGAACCAGCCAAGUAGCGUGAAGGAUGACUGCCCUAUGGGUUGUAAACUUCUUUUAUAUGGGAAUAAAAUGUUCCACGUGUGGGAUUUUGUAUGUACCAUAUGAAUAAGGAUCGGCUAACUCCGUGCCAGCAGCCGCGGUAAUACGGAGGAUCCGAGCGUUAUCCGGAUUUAUUGGGUUUAAAGGGAGCGUAGGUGGAUUGUUAAGUCAGUUGUGAAAGUUUGCGGCUCAACCGUAAAAUUGCAGUUGAAACUGGCAGUCUUGAGUACAGUAGAGGUGGGCGGAAUUCGUGGUGUAGCGGUGAAAUGCUUAGAUAUCACGAAGAGCUCCGAUUGCGAAGGCAGUUCACUGGACUGCAACUGACACUGAGGCUCGAAAGUGUGGGUAUCAAACAGGAUUAGAUACCCGUGUAGUC